This 194-nucleotide non-coding RNA is filed under the name Neobacillus cucumis. RNAcentral's name for it is "6S RNA". It matches the Rfam family "6S / SsrS RNA". Rfam says of the family: E. coli 6S RNA was the first non coding RNA to be sequenced, but its function was unknown until recently. It consists of 184 nucleotides that fold into an extended hairpin structure with a large single-stranded internal bulge. The 6S RNA specifically associates with RNA polymerase holoenzyme containing the sigma70 specificity factor. The record is from RNAcentral. Lineage: Bacteria; Bacillati; Bacillota; Bacilli; Caryophanales; Bacillaceae.
AGAGUCCUGAAAUGUACGUUGUGUUACCUGAAGUUUUGACCGAACAUUUAAGAUUCGGGAGUCUGGAGUUUUCUACUUGCGUAAAUGCCCCACCUAUACGGUAAAGGGACUUACAAUAACGGAAACAGGGCACCCACCUGCUAGUAGCGGGAUCAAAACGAAGGAUCAUGAGCGACGGCAUCAUUGGGACUCUU